UGGGGAAUAUUGGGCAAUGGGCGCAAGCCUGACCCAGCAACGCCGCGUGAAGGAAGAAGGCUUUCGGGUUGUAAACUUCUUUUCUCAGGGACGAAGCAAGUGACGGUACCUGAGGAAUAAGCCACGGCUAACUACGUGCCAGCAGCCGCGGUAAUACGUAGGUGGCAAGCGUUAUCCGGAUUUACUGGGUGUAAAGGGCGUGUAGGCGGGACUGCAAGUCAGAUGUGAAAACCACGGGCUCAACCUGUGGCCUGCAUUUGAAACUGUAGUUCUUGAGUACUGGAGAGGCAGACGGAAUUCCUAGUGUAGCGGUGAAAUGCGUAGAUAUUAGGAGGAACACCAGUGGCGAAGGCGGUCUGCUGGACAGCAACUGACGCUGAGGCGCGAAAGCGUGGGGAGCAAACAGGAUUAGAUACCC
RNAcentral lists this ribosomal RNA (418 nucleotides) under uncultured bacterium. RNAcentral describes it as "bacterial SSU rRNA". It matches the Rfam family "Bacterial small subunit ribosomal RNA", at positions 355 to 787 of the family's 1533-position model. The record is from RNAcentral.